CCAUAAAACGGGUGACAGGUUCCCUUUAAAUGCAUUCUCUGGGGUUUUAAUAUUGAUGACCUAUCUUCAGGAUAGGUCAUCAAUAUCAGAUCGGCGGGGGUCCGACACGCCUGCCAAUCAGCUGCAUG
This is a long non-coding RNA of Bufo bufo (common toad), 128 nucleotides long. RefSeq lists it as uncharacterized. Lineage: Eukaryota; Metazoa; Chordata; Amphibia; Anura; Bufonidae. The transcript has 3 exons. The record is from RefSeq and is a predicted model, not a curated record.